RNAcentral lists this long non-coding RNA (702 nucleotides) under Mus spicilegus (steppe mouse). Its description in RNAcentral is "lncRNA (ENSMSIG00000000131.1)". The record is from RNAcentral. Lineage: Eukaryota; Metazoa; Chordata; Mammalia; Rodentia; Muridae.
AGGACCUUCAAGGGCAGGAGUCAUGGAGAAUUAGACAAAGGGGGACUUGACAGAGGAGUAGGCCAGUGUGAGUGGACAUGCUAUGGACUGCUACCCAUACCCAGUUCACAAAGCUGUAGGAGGAGACACCAGACAAGCUCUUUGGCCAUCAGGGAUCCUGCAGUGAUGCAGCAGAGAGGAAGCUCUGUGAUGCAUCCCUGCCUCAUCUUCCUCUGCUCUUUGCUCCACCGGAUCCAGCCAGGAGAGGAGGGCAGAGGUGGUCAAUGAAGGUUCCAGAGAACAUAUUCUGUGCAGCAGAAAGCAGGGUGGUGCUUGUCUGCAGGCCAAAACGGAGUCUGAUGGAUGUGCUCAGGAAGCUGAGACCUAGGAGAAACUUGGUAUCCCUUAGUUGGCAGAUGGACCACCACCUCAGGCAGCAGGAUACUCUGCAGGAAGAUCACAAACUGCCAAGUUCACGGACCUUCUGACCUCCAUCACCAGGAAGCAAGACUGGCCACAUGAAUGAACACCCUUGUAACUUAAAGGGAAAAAUGUAAAGUAUGGUUUUUGUUUUUGUUUUUGUUUUUUGUCUUCUAAGAUAUACUACAUAUUGUUUUGCCUUGUUAGCAAAAUCAUAUGAAGUAUGAUUUAGAUUGGGAUUACUUUACUUUCAAGAAUAUUGCUGUGUCCCUCUUGUUCAUGUGGCUACAUUAAACACCCCCC